AGGAUCAAGAAGGUUUAAAGUAAAGUUUUGAAAUCAUCACGCUUAGGUGCAUUACUGGUAUUUGGAGUAAUCAAGAAAAUGUAGCCGAGAGAAUAAUAUGAGCCUUGUUAUGCCAAGAGUGGGAGUAAUGUUUGUACAUAAUGUGCAGUCAACACAGUCUGGUUCAGAUUUUCUAAGCCUCGCAAAAUAAACUUUGCUUUAUUCAGCACCGACCUAGUAUUCUCAAUGUACAUAAUGUGCAGUCAACACAGUCUAAUCUGGGUUGACACUUUCUGCACAUCCAUUAAGCCCAGUUUUCCCAAAACGAGGCUAAUGUUGCUUAAUAGAACACAAAGCUGUCUGUGAGCUGUUGGUACAAGGCGACUGAUGGUCAUUAUUGACAGUACUUAGUGGAGCGCUUUGUGCAAUCAUGGCUGUAUUGUUGUUAAAAUUUAAUGAACAACUAAAUUAUGAUCUGUUUUCCAUAAUUAUGGUUUACAUGUAUGUGAUCUGACUGUUGUUCAUAUCGUGGUUUCCAGUUGAAGAGAUUAUUACUUAUGAUAAUUUUUAGCUUGACUAUUCAUCAAAUUGUUCGAGCCAUUCUCUUCACCCAAAUGUCUGCAUUGCAUCAUGCUUAAGUGACUGUAAACAUGCAACAUCUUCAUAUCACUGUUUGACUUACCAGUGACUGUAAACAUGCAACAUCUUCAUAUCACUGUUUGAAGUACCAGUGACUGUAAACAUGCAACAUCUUCAUGUCACUGUUUGAAGUACCAGUAGACUGUAAACAUGCAACAUCUUCAUAUCACUGUUUGAAGUACCAGUGACUGUAAACAUGCAACAUCUUCAUAUCACUGUUUGAAGUACCAGUAGACUGUAAACAUGCAACAUCUUCAUAUCACUGUUUGAAGUACCAGUGACUGUAAACAUGCAACAUCUUCAUAUCACUGUUUGAAGUACCAGUAGACUUUGCAACAUCUUCAUAUCACAUCAUGCUUAAGUGACUGUAAACAUGCAACAUCUUCAUAUCACAUCAUGCUUAAGUGACUGUAAACAUGCAACAUUUUCAUAUCACAUCAUGCUUAAGUGACUGUAAACAUGCAACAUCUUCAUAUCACAUCAUGCUUAAGUGACUGUAAACAUGCAACAUCUUCAUAUCACAUCAUGCUUAAGUGACUGUAAACAUGCAACAUCUUCAUAUCACUGUUUGAAGUACCAGUAUUCAAUUGAAACUUCACACCUGUGUUUAGGGUACCUAAUUGUGUGAAGUCGGUUAACAAGUUUCAUAACUCUAACAUGCAAUAAAGCAGAAUUGCAUGCAACUACUCCAUACCUUUAUAUUUAACAAGAUAUUAAAAUAAAACAUAGCAUAAAUUAUGUGUUCAAGAUCUUUAAGAACAUUAACUGAUCAAGACAUUUAACUUUUACCAACCUUUAAGCAUCAUUAUGUUACGAACACUGUAUAAUGUGAAUUGGGUAUAAGACAUCAAUUUGGGAAUAAAUUGUGUUUUACCAAAACGGCAUAAUAUGCAGUUUUAUCCGUUGUAUUUAUCUAGUUUUACAAAUUAUAAUUAAAACAUAUACUUGCAUAUAUAAUAGCAUCAUUUAAAUUGAUUUUACUUCAAAACUGGAUUUUUUAUUAAUUAAAAAAAAAAAAAAUCCUCAUGAAAUGAAACUGUGUACACUUUAAAUGAUAAAAAUUCAAUCACUGUUAAUGAAAAAGUCAUGGAAAAUUUCUUAUUAAGCUUAAAUUAUAGAUAAUAUAUUACAAAAAUAUAUGUAGAUCAUGAAAUGAAUAGUUUUGUUUGAGAAAAUCACCAAAAUAAUGUCCAUUCCCAGUUUGAUGUCUUAUUCCCAAUUCACAUAAUACAGUGUUCACUUUAUUCCUUAGAAAUGUCAGGUUAAAGUUUGCAUGCAACAAGUGCUUAUCUCUGUAAGUACUGCCUUUAUAAGUUCAGGCAAGGUCAAAAGCACUGUUGCCAAAAUUAAAAAAAAAAAUUGCGCUCAAUAACUUCAGUUAGGU
Dreissena polymorpha is the source of this 2002-nucleotide long non-coding RNA. RefSeq lists it as uncharacterized. The record is from RefSeq and is a predicted model, not a curated record. The transcript has 2 exons. Lineage: Eukaryota; Metazoa; Mollusca; Bivalvia; Myida; Dreissenidae.